UACAGAGGGUGCAAGCGUUAAUCGGAAUUACUGGGCGUAAAGCGUGCGUAGACGGUUAUGUAAGUCGGGUGUGAAAGCCCCGGGCUCAACCUGGGAAUUGCAUUCGAGACUGUGUAGCUAGGGUACGGAAGAGGGAAGCGGAAUUUCAGGUGUAGCGGUGAAAUGCGUAGAUAUCUGAUGGAACACCAGUGGCGAAAGCGGCUUCCUGGUCCAGUACCGACGUUCAGGCACGAAAGCGUGGGGAGCAAACAGG
RNAcentral lists this ribosomal RNA (253 nucleotides) under uncultured bacterium. Its description in RNAcentral is "partial 16S ribosomal RNA". It matches the Rfam family "Bacterial small subunit ribosomal RNA", at positions 524 to 776 of the family's 1533-position model. The record is from RNAcentral.